UGUGUGUGUGUGUGUGUGUGUGUGUGUCAGUGUGUGUGUGGGGGGGGGUUCUUUUGUUAUGUAAGAGGGGAGCAGGUGGACAGGAGUGGUCACUCCUCUGGACACACAGUGCAACUGGAUGUGACAGAGGAAGAUGCAGGCGGGGCCACCUUCACUAGCCUUCAGUACUGCCUGAGGAAUGCUAGUUCAAGACAUGAUUUUAUUACAAGGACAAUGAACUUGGUACUCAUUUUAUCUAUAUAUCCGUUGUUUAGUUGGUUUUAGGAUUUAGCUAUUUAGUUAGUAUCAAACAUACAAAGACAAUGUUGAAAAGUUCAAUAGCUUUUCUCUGUGUUUUCUGUGCAGUGCAAGCUGAAUAAAUGUCGGUCUUUGGCAUUCAAGGAAGCUACCUGUUUGUAUAUUUUUGUGUGCAUCUUGUUCUGAUUGGAAGCUCUUUUUUGUCCCUCUGUUUUGUUUUGUUGUUGUUUUUUAUGUGGUGACAUGUCAUAUUUGCAUACAUUUAUCUACACUGCUGCCACGGUCGGGUGAAGAUGUCGCAUCUCCAAAAUGACAACUUUUCAGGAAUCAGGGUUGUUCUUUACCUUUUAGACAAACUUUCACUCCUGAGCUCCAACUGGUUUUGGAAAUAUCUAUAAAACAAUGAAUAUCUGUCUGCCUGUAAUCUUGGUCCAGGAGAUUUUGUUGCGAUUUGUUCCACUGGCCUCUGGUUGCAUCUCUUCCCUGAACUAUAAGGCCGUCACAUCCCAUCAAAACAAGGCUUAGGACAGCAUCUUAUCACCACGGAUGGUUGUUUACAUCUUGAAGCUUGUUAUCUUAAUCCAGCAGCCUCUGCGUUGAACCAACACUUUUGAAGAGGAUGAAGAUAUGAGGCAGAGAUACAGAGAAUCUGCGCUGUCUGUCCUGUCCUACUGCUGUGUAAUGCAGGCCACGGUCCCAACAUCCUCCUGUAGGCUUAUGCACCGCUAAUCUGCCUGUGUUUAUACUGUACAUCCACACCGCCUAUUAAACAGAGUGCUGUAUGAAAGCCGGGAGCUGAGA
Myripristis murdjan (pinecone soldierfish) is the source of this 1038-nucleotide long non-coding RNA. RefSeq lists it as uncharacterized. NCBI's taxonomy places the organism in Eukaryota, Metazoa, Chordata, Actinopteri, Holocentriformes, Holocentridae. The transcript is spliced from 2 exons. The record is from RefSeq and is a predicted model, not a curated record.